GUUUACGCUCCCUACCGAAUUAAACUAGGAAUACAAAAUGCUGCUCACAUGUUUAUUAGCUUUGGAAAGCGAAUUAAUGUCCAAAUCGGGAAUAUAAGACCUGUGCAAUGUUGUGCGCAAUUUUUCCAACAGCAUGACACUUAUUUGGAGUCUGUGGCUCAAGUGGUUUGAAAGCGCGAAUAUCCAACUUGAAACUGUUUUUACCUCGGUUAAGUAAUUUACGUAUCGGCUAAUCACAUAAUGUGUUAUAGCAAUCUGUCAGCCGAUGAGAGAGGGGUUUCGCUUUCUCAACCUUUUCUUUAUGUCUAAAAAUCAGUCUGAUCCUAUGACUUUCAUGAUAGAUAGGAUUUCCUGUAUUGUAUAAUGUUUUCACUGAACGAUUUAGCAAGAAAAACGUCAGCCUGGAGAAAAAUGUCAAUAUGCCAAACAUGUUUUUUUCCACAUUGCUUUUACAAGAAAGACCUCCCCCUAACAACUUCUCCAGUUCCCAACGCUUUGCCAAGCUGUAUAUCUUUGUAGUACAGCACGUUGGUCAGCCUAAAUGAACCACACUUUAAUAUUUUUUUUCUGAGGAUACAAACUCAUGGUAUAGUGGGUUAGCUGACAACGUUACGAAAACGAAGCGCACUCUUCAAUGGGGCAUGACAGUCUUGAGUUGUGAUUCUGGAUGGCCAAAUAGCUACCAACAACCAUGUGAGGAAUUUUGCACACGCUUUGGUUUUGUUGCUAAACAACCAACUAUGUCUAUGGGCAAACCCAACAACUAUCCCGACCAGAAACUACUGAGGCUGACUAUAGACCAACACCUCACCACAGCAUAUUUUAUUGGAGUAACAUCAUGUUGGUUUUCCUGCUAUGGGCUUCACUGUUCCUCUCAAGCCUCCAAGAACAAAAUGGUCAAGAUGCUCCAGGUGUCCUGCUUUCUGGACCUCAGAAUGUGAGUGUGAAUUAUGACCUAAAAGACCAGAGGAUAUCUGUAACAUGGGAAGAUGACCCAUCUUCCUCCAGAGUACCGGACAAACUGAUUUAUGAUGUGGAGGUUCUCUUAACAGUCAAUAUGACUGAAGUACACAGUGAAGCUGUGGAUGUGAGACAAGCCCUCGCCAGCAGGAAAUACCACUGGAGUUGGACCUCGGCUUUACCCCUAGAGUGCACCUCCCACUCAGUCAGACUCCGCUCCCGAUACCAGAACUACACCAGUCAAUGGAGCCCCCUACUGACCAUCACUGGGAGGGCCUCAUCACAUCCACAGGUUUUUCCAAAAAGCAGCGUGGUUCAGGUCGAUAGCAACUUUACUUUCUGCUGUAUUCUUGGGCCAGGGCAGAGACUUGAAUACAUGAAAUACAACAACAUUCUAAUGAACACCACCCACAUCAUUGACCAGAGUUAUGCCAUGGUGGUGCAUAUGCAGUCUCCCUCUCCGCCCAGUUGCAUCAAUGUCUAUUGUAAUUCACCUCUGUAUGGCACCUGUGUUUACGUGGGAUACCCCCCUGGGGACAGGAACCUUGUGUGUGAGACCCGGGACCUGGAGUCAGUGGAGUGUCACUGGGACACAGGGAGGGCCACCAACCUGACUAAACAGAGGAUGACUCGUUAUGACCUGAAUGGAAGAGCUUGUCCAAACAGAACAAACUGCUACCAAACAGUACGAGUGGAUCAGGGGGAGAGGAAUUGGACAUUGACUGCCAGAAACCCGCUCGGCACACUGGAGCUCAGAGACACAGCAGACCUGAAGAAAAGAGUGCGUUUACUAGCUCCCAUGGAAGUGGUGGCUUCAGGUGUGAAUGCCAGUGUUCAGUGGCAGUGGGAAAGACCGCAGUACCAUAUACUAUUAAUGGUUUGCCAAGUACAGCUGAACCAUAGUGGGCACAUAGACGUGAGGAACUUUUCUGGCAUAGGUCUUAGGUCAGUAGUUUUACAUGGCCUAGCACCUGCCCAGACAUACACAGUGCAGGUGUGUUGUGGAUUGAAACAGCACUUCUGGAAAUGGGGUGACUGGAGCAAAGGUAGCACCUUCAAAACCGAGGAGGACAUUCCUGAAAUGUUAGAUGUAUGGAUGCAGAUUGAAGGGAACCAAACCAUGAUACUAUGGAAACCCCUUACAGUGAAUCAGAGUCAUGGGCAGAUCAAGGACUAUGAGGUGACCUGGGGAAGGCAGGAGACAAUUCUCCAUCCACCUCAGAAUGACUUUCUCAUCAGUGAUCGAUCCACUGAUGAGGGGCAUAGGGUCACAGUUACAGCCAAAAACUCUGCUGGCAGCUCCCUUCCCUCGAUCAUCAUUAUUCCUAGACUUCCUCACAGAAGUAAAAGCUCCAUGAAAAUUGUUGGCAGUGAUGGUGGGUUUAACCUAUCCUGGUCCGCUAGCCCCAAUUCUAGCUGUGGCUACGUGGUGGACUGGUGUCCCACACAUAAAAAAUGCAGAGUGGAGUGGGUGAAGGUACCAGCUGGUAUAACCAGGGCCAGAAUCCAAUCAGCUAGCUUUGAAGAGGGGGUGAGGUACACACUCUCCAUCUUUGCCUGUACUCCAGGGGCUCCAGAGCUAUGGGAGAGAAGGGAGGGCUAUGUAAAAGAGUGCCUUCCAAAAGAACCGAUUCAGAGGUUGGCUGCAGAACAGCAUGGUUUGGACACAGUUCUGAUCUCCUGGACUGCUAUUCCCCCGGAGAAUCAGACGGCGUUCAUUCAUGGUUACAUCAUAUACUACUUGGAUACUUCCCAUCCUUCCAGCACAAGAACUUUCAAUGUCACUACAGUUGAGCCUGGGGCCAAGAAUCUGACAGGCAUACCCGUCAGCUCCUACAGAUUCAUAGUGAAGGCCCUCACAUCAGUAGGGGAGGGCGGAGACUCUUCACCAGUCUUCCUCCAGAUGAACCCCCAGACUGAUCAGUUGAUCACAGUGAUGAUCAUUUCCCUGGGUUCAGCUGCCUGUCUCCUCGCUCUGGUCACCAUCUUAUGCUACAGAAACUGGAAAUGUGUGAAAGAGAACCUGUAUCCUAAAAUUCCAAAGCCAGUAUGGAAGGAGGAAUGGUUGACACCACUGGAGAGCAAUGGCCGCCAAAUCCUCUAUGUGGAUCCAUGUCAACCCAGUGAGAUUGAUAUAGUGUGUAACCGAGAGCAGUCUGGAGAAGCUGUACUAGAUAACAAUGCUGGAAAGGGUGCCUUAACCAACACAAACUCCGAUGUCCCAGCUCUGCAUGUAUACUACAACCAGCUCCUCACCAAGACCACUUUAGGACACUUCACCUUCUCUCCUCACACGAUGGCGACCCCAUUCUCUCAACUCUCAGGCACAGUAAUUCAGAACCCCUCAUACAACCUAGAAGUACAGGCUAGUUUAGAUAUGGGACAGUCUGUGGGAUAUGAGCCGGAUAUGAACUCUUUCUCCUGUCCUAACCCUGAACUACACAACACCAUGUCUUAUGUGCCCUUUGAGACUGAUUCCCGGGGUUACAAGUUCCAGUGUCACAUAGAAGACAGCUCUCCUCUCCAGGAGUAGAGCUUCUGGGCAGCCCUAUUUCCUUCAGCUCCACUCAAUUCAUAUUUUUGUUCCAGCACAAACACAGCUAAGACCACCAAUUAAGAUUUUGAUUGGGCCAUGAUUGCACUGCUGGAAAUAAAAGUGGCUUAUCAAACAGAAAUAAUGAACUGCUGUACCUGUAUUUAUUUAAAUGCACUUCUCUCUGAUGACUUGAUAUGUUGCUUUAUGUGAAAUAUUUAGAUGACAGCGGAAAUGUUUUGAUAGAUACAGGAUGAGUACUUAUGUAACAGUAAGUGUUGCUUCUGUCUUUCUCUUCGCCCAAACCAGGGACCUUCUGCACACAUCAACAACAGUCUCCCUCGAAGCACCGUUACCCCUUACAGUGCAAGGGGAGCAACUACUUCUAGUCUCAGAGCGAGUGACGUCACCGAUCGAAACGCUAGCGCUCACCCAACUAAUUUUAACUAGCUAUUUCACACCGGCUUUUUUGCUGGCAGCAUAUAGAAGCACGUUCGAUUGUGCGUCAAGAAUUCAGCAUAGCAAAUUUGUAUGAAGGUCUGGUUAUUAAAUGGGUAAAUAGUUCAAUUGUAAUAUGGUCUAAAACGCUCUGGUGACAAACUUUUACAAUUAUCAAACGUUUCCAAUUAUCGACAUGGCUGGGAGAACCUAUUCAAGUAAGUAAGGUAAAUACAUUUCGAAAAUGUAAAACAAAUAAAAAUUGUUACAGUGCAGGCUAACUCAAAUGAGCUAGCUAGUUGGCUAGCUAGACAUACUGUUAAGCGAAUUAAAUGUCACCAGUUAACGUUACCCAACUUCAUAUUAGUUGGGCUACGUUACCCAACUUCAUAUUAGUUGGGCUAUCUUGAUGUAUUUAUCACAAAAAAAAACUCAAAAUGCCAUGGAGGAGGGUGAAAGGAUCAUUUUUAGCAGCCCCAACUUUCAAAGUGAGAGAGUAGGUUAUUCUGGAUAGGGCAGGUUAUUUUGUGUAGUUCUAGUCCCUAGAAGUGAGGACGGAGGUAAAAGUAACAUAAUAUUCAGUGCAGUGUAAUUUCAGUAUAAUGAAGUCUGUUUCUUGUGAGUUUUUCUGUCCUCAGAUGAAGAGAGCUCUGAAAGCCUGUCUACGGAUGAAGAGGUCCCAAUGAAGAGCAGUGGUUCUCAGUCCUGGUCCUGGGGACUCAAAGGGAUAUCUUGUAAAUGGAGAUUCCUUCAAAACGAUUGCCUACAGUUACCGUGUAGGGAACUGCAAGGUUGAGUGACCAGGGCCAUCUGGGACUGCCUCCUGGAGGAAUUCAGGUGUGUGAAGGCUACCUGUGUCCUGCGUAACUUCAUGAGGAUGGACACGAGGACCAGGAAGGGAUCUGCAGCUCGCCGGUGUGUGCCAGAGGAGAAGUCUGGUGCCCUGCAGGAUGUUUCAAGGAUGGGGUCCAACAACGCAGCAAGAGAGGCAUUCCAUGUGCGGGAGAUCUUCACCUACUUCUUUGAAGAGGGUUCUGUUCCCUGGCAACACCAUAAACUACACUGCACAACCAAAGGCUCUUUUAAGAGCCAUCCACAUUGCAAUAAGAGUAUUCUUCCAUUUACUUAGCUAUGUCAACUGCAGUUAUUCAAUUCCCAGUUUCUCUCUUUGAUUUCUACUUCUCAGGUGAUGGUGCUGUUUAGGUAAGGGUGUGAUGUCUGUACAAAAACAAAACAGGCUAUUUUAAGUAAUCCAUAUUGAAAAAAGUUUCAACAAUUAGACACCCUAUAACCCACACAUGUAUCAGUAUGAUUGAUGGAUUGCGUUGUGCAGUAAGCAGGCUCAGGUGUAUAACUGUGGCUCCUUCCACCUUAAAAGUAUAGACAAGAGGGCCAACCAUCGAGAAUAGUAAGACAAUUCAUUAUUUCUAGAAAUUGUUUGUCCAUGUUUUUCAGCAUAAAGUACUCUGCAGCCACCUAGUGUGGGCACCAGGUUAUAUCAGCUGUGUCAGUGAACCCCUCCCGCAUCUGAACUGGCUACUUAGAGGGCACAGCAUGAUCAGAGGUAUGUUUUGAUGUGAGAGAGGAUGCCAACCCCCAGUCCCGUCAUCGCCACCUCACCCUCUCUAAAGAUAACCUUUGGGCUGACUGGGAGCCCAAGGCUGGUUAGGAGACACUAUUGUUUAAUUGUGAUUAACUGAGAGAAAAUUAUGGUAGCACUGUGAUUCAUUAAUCAUAUGCUGCCUUCCCAGCUCCUAUGUUCUUACCUCUUUCCCUUUUACACCUCUCUCACCACCUAUUUCUUCCUCUGUUUUUAUAAUGCACAACAGAUGUGCAUUGAACUACAGAUUGAACAUGUAUUUAUAAUAUUACAAUUAUGUUUAUAACACUUGGACAAUUAACUUCUUUCAAUAAAGGGUUUCACAUUU
This is an RNA transcript of Oncorhynchus kisutch (coho salmon), 5859 nucleotides long. It is a transcript of the gene named leukemia inhibitory factor receptor, with no coding region annotated. The transcript is spliced from 20 exons. Lineage: Eukaryota; Metazoa; Chordata; Actinopteri; Salmoniformes; Salmonidae. The record is from RefSeq and is a predicted model, not a curated record.